Molecule: ribosomal RNA, 382 nt
Filed under: Fistulifera saprophila
Lineage: Eukaryota; Bacillariophyta; Bacillariophyceae; Naviculales; Stauroneidaceae
Description: SSU rRNA
Rfam family: Eukaryotic small subunit ribosomal RNA
Source: RNAcentral
AUUCCAGCUCCAAUAGCGUAUAUUAAAGUUGUUGCAGUUAAAAAGCUCGUAGUUGGAUUUGUGGUGUGCGUUGCGGCGUCCAUUUGUUUGGUUCUGCCGUGACCGCGCCAUCCUUGGGUGGAAUCUGUGUGGCAUUAGGUUGUCGUGCAGGGGAUGCCCAUCGUUUACUGUGAAAAAAUUAGAGUGUUCAAAGCAGGCUUAUGCCGUUGAAUAUAUUAGCAUGGAAUAAUAAGAUAGGUCUAGGGUCCUAUUUUGUUGGUUUGCGGUCCUUAGAAAUGAUUAACAGGGACAGUUGGGGGUAUUCGUAUUCCAUUGUCAGAGGUGAAAUUCUUGGAUUUCUGGAAGACGAACUACUGCGAAAGCAUUUACCAAGGAUGUUUUC